AGAGCGAACGCUGGCGGCAGGCCUAACACAUGCAAGUCGAACGAACUCUUCGGAGUUAGUGGCGGACGGGUGAGUAACACGUGGGAACGUGCCUUUAGGUUCGGAAUAACUCAGGGAAACUUGUGCUAAUACCGAAUGUGCCCUUCGGGGGAAAGAUUUAUCGCCUUUAGAGCGGCCCGCGUCUGAUUAGCUUGUUGGUGGGGUAAUGGCCCACCAAGGCUACGAUCAGUAGCUGGUCUGAGAGGAUGACCAGCCACAUUGGGACUGAGACACGGCCCAAACUCCUACGGGAGGCAGCAGUGGGGAAUCUUGCGCAAUGGGCGAAAGCCUGACGCAGCCAUGCCGCGUGUAUGAUGAAGGUCUUAGGAUUGUAAAAAUACUUUCAACCGGUGAAGAUAAAUGACUGUAGCCGAGAAAGAAGCCCCGGCUAACUCGUGCCAGCAAGCCGC
This 449-nucleotide ribosomal RNA is filed under the name uncultured soil bacterium. Its description in RNAcentral is "bacterial SSU rRNA". It matches the Rfam family "Bacterial small subunit ribosomal RNA", at positions 26 to 518 of the family's 1533-position model. The record is from RNAcentral.